Pistacia vera is the source of this 281-nucleotide long non-coding RNA. RefSeq lists it as uncharacterized. NCBI's taxonomy places the organism in Eukaryota, Viridiplantae, Streptophyta, Magnoliopsida, Sapindales, Anacardiaceae. The record is from RefSeq and is a predicted model, not a curated record. The transcript is spliced from 2 exons.
GACCCACUUGCAAUAAAAGUAUAACUAUAUGAUACUCUAUUCUAUUAUUCCAUAUCAAUUCCGAUUACAAACACACCAACUCCGACUUUGAUUCUCUCUUUUUAUCUUUUUAAACCCUUUCCUUUUGAUCCUUUUAAUAAUUUAUACACGAAUUCAAGACUUCUCAACUGUGCACACCUCAAGAACAUAUCAGCUUUCACUGCUUGCCUUUUUUUUUUUUUUUAAUCUGGGUUUUGCAAAAAAAGGCGGAGUGGUUUUGCUGGAUUCAUGGCAGUUAAUAA